AAGUCGUAACAAGGUUUCCGUAGGUGAACCUGCGGAAGGAUCAUUAUUACGUAUCCACGUAUCAACCCAAUUGUGAACUGUUUCCCGUCUGAUGAGGAUUUCUGCGACCAACAAAAAAGCAUGGUGAUUAGAGAGGGAAGUCCGCAAGGGCUUUUCUCUUUAACAAGCUUGGUCGGUUCCUGGGGGACAUCAAACUCGUUUGAUGUUUUCCAGCUCAUUAGAUGUGGUUUUUUCAUCAUGCGACAAUUAUUAACCCCUUGUAACAAAAAAUGAACUAAAGAACUUGCUACCCAAUAAAACGGGUGGUGAAAAGACCGAAAUUAAGAAAACAACUCUUAACAACGGAUAUCUUGGUUCUC
Molecule: unclassified non-coding RNA, 359 nt
Filed under: fungal sp.
Lineage: Eukaryota; Fungi
Also listed under: 1 other name
Description: partial internal transcribed spacer region
Rfam family: Eukaryotic small subunit ribosomal RNA (bases 1-46)
Source: RNAcentral